CAAUUUUUCUCAUUUCAAAUUUCAUAAAUAAAAAAGAAAAUUUCUUCAAACAUUUUUUUGAGAGGAUUAAUAUUCAACAGCAUAGUGAAUUGCUCUAAGAGAAAACAAAAAUUUUAAGUUCAUUAGAACACAUUCAUUCUGUGUCAGAAACCUAUGCUGUGUCAACUAUUUAAUCACAAUCCAAAUUUAGAGCUGAAUCCAGCUUGAAUGUUGUGUCCAUACUUGCCCCAACCGUUCAGGGUUCAACCUCUGCGGUCGUAUAAAGCUGCGCCC
RNAcentral lists this long non-coding RNA (273 nucleotides) under Mytilus galloprovincialis (Mediterranean mussel). Lineage: Eukaryota; Metazoa; Mollusca; Bivalvia; Mytilida; Mytilidae. The record is from RNAcentral.